Molecule: ribosomal RNA, 253 nt
Filed under: uncultured bacterium
Lineage: Bacteria
Description: partial 16S ribosomal RNA
Rfam family: Bacterial small subunit ribosomal RNA
Source: RNAcentral
UACGGAGGGGGCAAGCGUUAUUCGGAAUUAUUGGGCGUAAAGGGCGCGUAGGCGGCUUGACAAGUCAGGGGUGAAAUCCCUCGGCUCAACCGGGGAACUGCCUCUGAAACUGUCAAGCUUGAGUCCGGGAGAGGGUAGUGGAAUUCCCAGUGUAGCGGUGAUAUGCGUAGAUAUUGGGAGGAACACCAGUGGCGAAAGCGGCUACCUGGACCGGUACUGACGCUGAGGCGCGAAAGCGUGGGGAGCAAACAGG